This 425-nucleotide ribosomal RNA is filed under the name uncultured bacterium. RNAcentral's name for it is "bacterial SSU rRNA". It matches the Rfam family "Bacterial small subunit ribosomal RNA", at positions 354 to 796 of the family's 1533-position model. The record is from RNAcentral.
GUGGGGAAUCUUGCACAAUGGGGGAAACCCUGAUGCAGCGACGCCGCGUGAGCGAUGAAGCCCUUCGGGGUGUAAAGCUCUUUCGGCAGGAACGAUAAUGACGGUACCUGCAGAAGAAGCUGCGGCUAACUACGUGCCAGCAGCCGCGGUAAUACGUAGGCAGCAAGCGUUGUUCGGAGUUACUGGGCGUAAAGAGUGUGUAGGCGGUUUGCCAAGUUCGGUGUGAAAUCUCCCGGCUUAACUGGGAGGGUGCGCCGAAAACUGGCAGGCUCGAGUGCGGGAGAGGAGAGCGGAAUUCCUGGUGUAGCGGUGAAAUGCGUAGAGAUCAGGAGGAACACCUGCGGUGUAGACGGCUCUCUGGACCGCAACUGACGCUGAGACACGAAAGCGUGGGUAGCAAACAGGAUUAGAAACCCCAGUAGUCC